Molecule: ribosomal RNA, 497 nt
Filed under: uncultured bacterium
Lineage: Bacteria
Description: partial 16S ribosomal RNA
Rfam family: Bacterial small subunit ribosomal RNA
Source: RNAcentral
GAUGAACGCUGGCGGCGUGCCUAAUACAUGCAAGUCGAGCGAACAGAUGAGGAGCUUGCUCCUUUGACGUUAGCGGCGGACGGGUGAGUAACACGUGGGUAACCUACCUAUAAGACUGGGAUAACUUCGGGAAACCGGAGCUAAUACCGGAUAACAUUUGGAACCGCAUGGUUCUAAAGUGAAAGAUGGUUUUGCUAUCACUUAUAGAUGGACCCGCGCCGUAUUAGCUAGUUGGUAAGGUAACGGCUUACCAAGGCGACGAUACGUAGCCGACCUGAGAGGGUGAUCGGCCACACUGGAACUGAGACACGGUCCAGACUCCUACGGGAGGCAGCAGUAGGGAAUCUUCCGCAAUGGGCGAAAGCCUGACGGAGCAACGCCGCGUGAGUGAUGAAGGGUUUCGGCUCGUAAAACUCUGUUAUUAGGGAAGAACAAAUGUGUAAGUAACUGUGCACGUCUUGACGGUACCUAAUCAGAAAGCCACGGCUAACUACGUG